UGGGGAAUAUUGCACAAUGGGCGCAAGCCUGAUGCAGCCAUGCCGCGUGUGUGAAGAAGGCCUUCGGGUUGUAAAGCACUUUCAGCGAGGAGGAAGGUGGGUGAACUUAAUACGUUCAUCAAUUGACGUUACUCGCAGAAGAAGCACCGGCUAACUCCGUGCCAGCAGCCGCGGUAAUACGGAGGGUGCAAGCGUUAAUCGGAAUUACUGGGCGUAAAGCGCACGCAGGCGGUUUGUUAAGUCAGAUGUGAAAUCCCCCGGGCUCAACCUGGGAACUGCAUUUGAAACUGGCAAGCUAGAGUCUCGUAGAGGGGGGUAGAAUUCCAGGUGUAGCGGUGAAAUGCGUAGAGAUCUGGAGGAAUACCGGUGGCGAAGGCGGCCCCCUGGACGAAGACUGACGCUCAGGUGCGAAAAGCGUGGGGAAGCAAACAGGAUUAGAUAACCCUGGUAGUCCACGCUGUAAACGAUGUCG
Molecule: ribosomal RNA, 472 nt
Filed under: uncultured bacterium
Lineage: Bacteria
Description: partial 16S ribosomal RNA
Rfam family: Bacterial small subunit ribosomal RNA
Source: RNAcentral